This is a long non-coding RNA of Globicephala melas (long-finned pilot whale), 947 nucleotides long. RefSeq lists it as uncharacterized. The record is from RefSeq and is a predicted model, not a curated record. NCBI's taxonomy places the organism in Eukaryota, Metazoa, Chordata, Mammalia, Artiodactyla, Delphinidae.
GGAGGGGUUCGGCAGGCGAUGGUCCCCGCCGCCCGGGCCGGCUCAGCAGCGGCCCGGGGCGCGCCGCCUGCUCCCGGGCUGCAUGCCUGCGAGCGCCUGGAGGAGCCGGCCCGUGAGCGAACGGCUAGUGCUUCCCCAGCCUAGCGGCUCGGGCGGCGCAGCCCGCGCUCGGGAGACUACUGCAGAGUCAGGCUGUUCGGGCUAACCCCCUCCCUCGCCCGGCCCCAGCCGGCGGCCGCGGAACGCGGCGUCGAGAGCACCCCGCAGUGCCCUGGACAAGUAGCUGAAAAGUUAUUUGUAAGGCUGAAUUAAACCCAGUGCAGCCAUUCUUCACGGGAGCCAUCCAGCUACAUUCUCAGACUCAAGGCAGAUUGAGUCACUUUCCUCCGCUGUGUUAAUCUGUACUGUGAUUUUAAAAGAGACUCUCCUCUUCAGUCGGUGGAUGGACAUCUCCUACUUUGCAGGAAGACACAGUCCCAUUGGCCUCAGCGGCCAAGGCUUGGGAUUCAAGAAGCAGUCUUGUUGGAUUAAGAGGCGUUGAAUAGUUGAGUUCUUGAUCCACGUGUCAAACUGUGGAGCUUCAUUUUGAGCUGGCUGCCAUGUUGUAAGGAAGCCUCCACACACACCCUCCAGGGCAACUUCCAGCCAACAGCUAGUAAUGACCAUCUGAAGCUCUCAGUCCAAUGUCCCGUGAGGAGCAGAAUCCUGCUGCAACCACGGAGUGAGCUUGGAAAUGGAUUUCUUCCCAGUCGAGCCUUCAGAUGACUGCAACCCCCUCAGCACCUUGACUGCACCUGUGAGACAUCUUGAGCCAGAGGACUCAGAUGCUUCUUGUUGAAGAGCAAGUUGGAGAUGAAAGAUACUAAGGGCUGAGAGGUGCCCUCCCAAGGUGGAAGCAGGAAUGAAAGUCUUCUCAGCCCUGGUCCGUUGGGAAUGAGUGAGAUGGC